CAGGCGGUUAUGGACGAGCCGGCGGGAAGCGAGGGGAGCGGCGGGCGCCCGCCGCUCUCGUACCUGCUGCGCGCCGGGGCGCUUGCUGCUUCCUCCUCGGCAUGCUGAGCUCUGGCGGCCGGCGGAGGGGGGGCUGCCUGGGCGCGGGGGUGGGAAGAGUUGCUUCAGCCCCAGAGAUCCGGUGAGCUGCUCCAGCCUCGGCUCGAGGGCUGGGUUGGGGAUAUAUUUUUUGUUGCUGUGCAUACACGAUGCCGAGGAGGAGGAGGCGGCGGCGGCGGAGGAGGAGGAGGCGGCACAGAGGAGAGGACAGCCCUGCUGCUGCUGCUGCUGCUGCUGCUGCUGCUGCUGCUGCUGCUGCUGGCAGAAGAGGGGGGAAGUUUGACAAAUCGCCCCGGAGGAAGGAGGAGGGGAAGCCCCCCGAAGAGGAGUCGGCGGAGCCUCAGCCGGCGCUCUCCACUCCCCGGCUCCCGGCUCGGCGCUGGAGCGGCGGCAACAGGCGAAGCUUGAAGGGAAACGAGAUGAUCGCAGUGUCACUCAAACUAGUCCGCAAAGAGCGAGAGGGGCUCCAUAGUCCCACCGCCUCCCACCCCGGACGGCACCUUAACUCUUUGCGCAUCGCGCCGCCGGACCGCCCGCCACCGGCCCGGCCACGGCGGCGGGGAAGCGCCCGCCCGGGGCGGGCGGCGGCACAGGGGUGCCCCCCCCCACCCCCCACCGCCGCACCCCCUCCGCCGCCCAACUUCGCCCGCCGCUGCUUUCCUCAGCAGCCCGCGGCGGCGGAGGGGCUCUGCCCGCCGGACCCCCGGGCACGGCACAGCACGGCAGCACAGCCCGCUCCGCUCCCAACCGGCAGCCCUGCCCUUUCCGCACCCGCGCACACCCAUUCCCCGCCGGAGCUCCCACUGAGCCAUCGCCUGCCGCCACGCCGGGGCACGGGACCCUCCCUCCCCGAAGCCUCUGCCCCCCCACCUUGCCACGGUGAGACGGGCCCGGACCCCGUCCCCGGAGCUUGAGCCCCGUCCCCGCGGAGCCCGGCCCCCCCCAUGGGGUGACAGCGGUAGCGGCCCGGGUCCCCGCCUCACCCCGCACCUCACGCCGCCGCCCGCCCCGGCCCCACUCACCGGCGCGCCGGGCAGCCGGCCGCUCGCCGGCACACAUCCAGCCCUUCGGCUCCCACCUGGCUGGCGCCGCGG
Molecule: long non-coding RNA, 1193 nt
Filed under: Strigops habroptila (Kakapo)
Lineage: Eukaryota; Metazoa; Chordata; Aves; Psittaciformes; Psittacidae
Description: lncRNA (ENSSHBG00005014374.1)
Source: RNAcentral